GCCUGGGGAGUACGGCCGCAAGGCUAAAACUCAAAGGAAUUGACGGGGACCCGCACAAGCGGCGGAGCAUGCGGAUUAAUUCGAUGCAACGCGAAGAACCUUACCAAGGCUUGACAUACAUCAGAACACCGUAGAAAUACGGGACUCUUUGGACACUGGUGAACAGGUGGUGCAUGGUUGUCGUCAGCUCGUGUCGUGAGAUGUUGGGUUAAGUCCCGCAACGAGCGCAACCCUCGUUCUAUGUUGCCAGCACGUAAUGGUGGGAACUCAUGGGAUACUGCCGGGGUCAACUCGGAGGAAGGUGGGGAUGACGUCAAAUCAUCAUGCCCCUUAUGUCUUGGGCUUCACGCAUGCUACAAUGGCCGGUACAAAGGGCUGCAAUACCGUGAGGUGGAGCGAAUCCCAAAAAGCCGGUCCCAGUUCGGAUUGAGGUCUGCAACUCGACCUCAUGAAGUCGGAGUCGCUAGUAAUCGCAGAUCAGCAACGCUGCGGUGAAUA
RNAcentral lists this ribosomal RNA (498 nucleotides) under Microbacterium sp. J3-12. RNAcentral describes it as "bacterial SSU rRNA". It matches the Rfam family "Bacterial small subunit ribosomal RNA", at positions 871 to 1368 of the family's 1533-position model. The record is from RNAcentral. Lineage: Bacteria; Bacillati; Actinomycetota; Actinomycetes; Micrococcales; Microbacteriaceae.